UACGAAGGGGGCGAGCGUUGUUCGGAUUUACUGGGCGUAAAGGGUGCGUAGGCGGCGCGGUAAGUCGGGUGUGAAAUCUCGGGGCUUAACUCCGAAACUGCAUUCGAUACUGCCGUGCUUGAGGACUGGAGAGGAGACUGGAAUUUACGGUGUAGCGGUGAAAUGCGUAGAUAUCGUAAGGAAGACCAGUGGCGAAGGCGGGUCUCUGGACAGUUCCUGACGCUGAGGCACGAAGGCCAGGGGAGCAAACGGG
RNAcentral lists this ribosomal RNA (253 nucleotides) under uncultured bacterium. Its description in RNAcentral is "partial 16S ribosomal RNA". It matches the Rfam family "Bacterial small subunit ribosomal RNA", at positions 524 to 776 of the family's 1533-position model. The record is from RNAcentral.